This 643-nucleotide ribosomal RNA is filed under the name uncultured Actinomycetes bacterium. Its description in RNAcentral is "bacterial SSU rRNA". It matches the Rfam family "Bacterial small subunit ribosomal RNA", at positions 232 to 885 of the family's 1533-position model. Lineage: Bacteria; Bacillati; Actinomycetota; Actinomycetes. The record is from RNAcentral.
CGCGGCCUAUCAGCUUGUUGGUGAGGUAACGGCUCACCAAGGCGACGACGGGUAGCCGGCCUGAGAGGGCGACCGGCCACACUGGGACUGAGACACGGCCCAGACUCCUACGGGAGGCAGCAGUGGGGAAUAUUGCACAAUGGGCGAAAGCCUGAUGCAGCGACGCCGCGUGAGGGAUGACGGCCUUCGGGUUGUAAACCUCUUUCAGCAGGGAAGAAGCGAAAGUGACGGUACCUGCAGAAGAAGCGCCGGCUAACUACGUGCCAGCAGCCGCGGUAAUACGUAGGGCGCAAGCGUUGUCCGGAAUUAUUGGGCGUAAAGAGCUCGUAGGCGGCUUGUCACGUCGGAUGUGAAAGCCCGAGGCUUAACCUCGGGUCUGCAUUCGAUACGGGCUAGCUAGAGUGUGGUAGGGGAGAUCGGAAUUCCUGGUGUAGCGGUGAAAUGCGCAGAUAUCAGGAGGAACACCGGUGGCGAAGGCGGAUCUCUGGGCCAUUACUGACGCUGAGGAGCGAAAGCGUGGGGAGCGAACAGGAUUAGAUACCCUGGUAGUCCACGCCGUAAACGCUGGGAACUAGGUGUUGGCGACAUUCCACGUCGUCGGUGCCGCAGCUAACGCGUUAAGUUCCCCGCCUGGGGAGUACGG